AGUGAAGAGGGAAGAGACCAAGAUUGAAAGCUGGCGUCUUCGGCGUCCGCAUUGUAAUCUCAAGAAGUGUUUUCCGCUUCGGACCAUGCCUAAGUCCCUUGGAAAAGGGCAUCAUAGAGGGUGAUAAUCCCGUACAUGGCAUGGAGCGCCCGAAGCUUUGUGAUACGCUUUCUAAGAGUCGAGUUGUUUGGGAAUGCAGCUCAAAAUGGGUGGUAAAUGCCAUCUAAGGCUAAAUAUUGGGGAGAGACCGAUAGCGAACAAGUACAGUGAUGGAAAGAUGAAAAGAACUUUGAAAAGAGAGUUAAACAGUACGUGAAAUUGCCAAAAGGGAAGGGUAGGAGGUCAGAGAUGCGGCCUAGGAUUCAGCCUUGCUUUUGCUUGGUGUUUUUCCUAGAUUGCAGGCCAACGUCGGUUUUGGGCACUGGAGAAUGGUGGAAGGAAUGUGGCACCUCUCGGGGUGUGUUAUAGCCUUCUACUGGAUACAGCGACCGAGACCGAGGACAGCAGCGUACUCGCAAGAGCGGGCCUUCGGGCACCUUUACGCUUAGGGCGUUGGCAUAAUGGCCCUCUACCACCCGUCUUG
RNAcentral lists this ribosomal RNA (583 nucleotides) under Ustilago trichophora. Its description in RNAcentral is "LSU rRNA". It matches the Rfam family "Eukaryotic large subunit ribosomal RNA", at positions 92 to 656 of the family's 3401-position model. The record is from RNAcentral. Lineage: Eukaryota; Fungi; Basidiomycota; Ustilaginomycetes; Ustilaginales; Ustilaginaceae.